This 77-nucleotide transfer RNA is filed under the name Halarsenatibacter silvermanii. RNAcentral describes it as "tRNA_Phe_GAA". It matches the Rfam family "tRNA". Rfam says of the family: Transfer RNA (tRNA) molecules are approximately 80 nucleotides in length. Their secondary structure includes four short double-helical elements and three loops (D, anti-codon, and T loops). The record is from RNAcentral. Lineage: Bacteria; Bacillati; Bacillota; Clostridia; Halanaerobiales; Halarsenatibacteraceae.
GGUGAGGUAGCUCAGGUUGGUAGAGCAGUGGACUGAAAAUCCUCGUGUCGGCGGUUCGAAUCCGCCCCUCACCACCA